UAACACGUGAGUAACCUGCCCCCGAUUUCGGGAUAAGCCCGGGAAACUGGGUCUAAUACCGGAUACGACCAAUCCUCGCAUGAGGGUUGGUGGAAAGUUUUUCGAUCGGGGAUGGGCUCGCGGCCUAUCAGCUUGUUGGUGGGGUAAUGGCCUACCAAGGCGACGACGGGUAGCCGGCCUGAGAGGGCGACCGGCCACACUGGGACUGAGACACGGCCCAGACUCCUACGGGAGGCAGCAGUGGGGAAUAUUGCACAAUGGGGGAAACCCUGAUGCAGCGACGCAGCGUGCGGGAUGACGGCCUUCGGGUUGUAAACCGCUUUCAGCAGGGAAGAAGCCGUAAGGUGACGGUACCUGCAGAAGAAGUACCGGCUAACUACGUGCCAGCAGCCGCGGUAAUACGUAGGGUACGAGCGUUGUCCGGAAUUAUUGGGCGUAAAGAGCUCGUAGGUGGUUGGUCACGUCUGCUGUGGAAACGCAACGCUUAACGUUGCGCGUGCAGUGGGUACGGGCUGACUAGAGUGCAGUAGGGGAGUCUGGAAUUCCUGGUGUAGCGGUGAAAUGCGCAGAUAUCAGGAGGAACACCGGUGGCGAAAGCGGGACUCUGGGCUGUAACUGACACUGAGGAGCGAAAGCAUGGGGAGCGAACAGGAUUAGAUACCCUGGUAGUCCAUGCCGUAAACGUUGGGCACUAG
RNAcentral lists this ribosomal RNA (695 nucleotides) under Brevibacterium linens. Its description in RNAcentral is "bacterial SSU rRNA". It matches the Rfam family "Bacterial small subunit ribosomal RNA", at positions 111 to 819 of the family's 1533-position model. Lineage: Bacteria; Bacillati; Actinomycetota; Actinomycetes; Micrococcales; Brevibacteriaceae. The record is from RNAcentral.